RNAcentral lists this transfer RNA (73 nucleotides) under Felis catus (domestic cat). It matches the Rfam family "tRNA". Rfam says of the family: Transfer RNA (tRNA) molecules are approximately 80 nucleotides in length. Their secondary structure includes four short double-helical elements and three loops (D, anti-codon, and T loops). RNAcentral also lists the same sequence under 2 other names. The record is from Rfam by way of RNAcentral. Lineage: Eukaryota; Metazoa; Chordata; Mammalia; Carnivora; Felidae.
ACCUGGCUGGCUCAGUUGGUAGAGCAUGAAACUCUUGAUCUUGGGGUUGUGAGCUCAAGUCCCACGUUGGGUG